UAACCUGCCCAAGAGACUGGGAAUAACACCUGGAAACAGAUGCUAAUACCGGAUAACAACACUAGACGCAUGUCUAGAGUUUAAAAGAUGGUUCUGCUAUCACUCUUGGAUGGACCUGCGGUGCAUUAGCUAGUUGGUAAGGUAACGGCUUACCAAGGCAAUGAUGCAUAGCCGAGUUGAGAGACUGAUCGGCCACAUUGGGACUGAGACACGGCCCAAACUCCUACGGAAGGCAGCAG
This 239-nucleotide ribosomal RNA is filed under the name uncultured bacterium. RNAcentral's name for it is "partial 16S ribosomal RNA". It matches the Rfam family "Bacterial small subunit ribosomal RNA", at positions 122 to 354 of the family's 1533-position model. The record is from RNAcentral.